GCAGGAGAUGGGUUCUCAGAAACGGCUACUUAAAACUGCUGAAGAAAUGAUGGCAGAAGAUAGGAAUCCCAUAGCUUCAAGGUGUUUAUUGGAGUAUAUACCAAUGAGUUAUCCAGACGUGGAGCCAGGUUCACGGGACAGAAAAACUGGCGGAAGCGGGAUGGGGGGAACACCUAUCCUUUUUUGGCUGUUAAUCCUUGUCAAUUUCUGGGCCACUUCCCUUCUAGUUUUCUCCAGACAGCCCAGCACAAGAAAAUACACCCUCAGAGGGAAGCCUCACACUCCAGUGAUCUUAGAAGACAUUUAUCUGAUUUGAGCUCCAACUUGGCUUUUUGUCAAAAAGACAGACGUCACGGAAGUUAAGACUCUGGUAGCCAUGGGACCAUCAGCUGUACAAACAUAAUAACUUAGUUGUGCAGACAAAUAUCCCCUGAGCCCCUACUAUACCCCAGGCCCUCUGCUGGGGUUGAGGACACAGCAGCAAAAAAAGAGAGAUGCUUCUGGCCUCAACAAGUAGAGAUCCCAAAUGGAAAUAUCUGAUGAUUCUCCUAAGGUGGAAAUGGACUUCUUCUCUGAUGGUAACCAGGAGGGAGCACUGGACUCGGAGUCAGAAUUGUUGAGCUGGAAUGCCAGCUUCCAGA
Molecule: long non-coding RNA, 641 nt
Organism: Hippopotamus amphibius kiboko
Lineage: Eukaryota; Metazoa; Chordata; Mammalia; Artiodactyla; Hippopotamidae
Exons: 4
Source: RefSeq, a predicted model, not a curated record